This 234-nucleotide ribosomal RNA is filed under the name uncultured bacterium. RNAcentral's name for it is "partial 16S ribosomal RNA". It matches the Rfam family "Bacterial small subunit ribosomal RNA", at positions 105 to 334 of the family's 1533-position model. The record is from RNAcentral.
CGGGGUGGAGGUAAGUGUAUGGGGAGUCUGCCUGAUGGGGGGGAGGUAACUACUGGAAACGGGAGCUAAUACCGCAUAAUGUCUGCGGACCAAAGCGGGGGACCUCCGGGCCUCGCGCCAUCAGAUGAACCCAUAUGGGAUUAGCUAGUAGGUAAGGUAACGGCUUACCUAGGCGACGAUCCCUAGCUGGUCUGAGAGGAUGAUCAGCCACACUGGGACUGAGACACGGCCCAG